GGCUCAUCUAUUAUCUCAUACAUAAAGAUCAGUCAUUUUCUCUCCGCCCUCUCCUUUCCCUCCCUUAGUUUCUCCAGUCCUUGUCUGGUAAUCAAGAAAAAAAUAAUGUAGAAACCAGCGAGGAACUGGGGAGGGGCUUGGUUUUGUCGUUUUUCAGCGGCAGCGAUUCAUUACUUCCUAGUCACACAUGCAAGUAUCGGAAACGGAGUAUAUGGGAGGAGAGAGACUGAUUUCAAAGAUAUAGAGAGACCUACGAAUGUGCUUCCUGCAGAGGAUGUCUCAUUUGAAGAGUCUCUGCCAAGGCAAGGCUCCAGGAGCACACUAGACCUCGGACAGCUCCAAGUGCCAGAAUCUGGACUUUGGCCAACGGAGACCAGGGGAGCCAGUGCUGUAUCCUGCAACACAGAUGAGAAUGUUGCUCCAGUGACUUCUUCCAGCAGGCUGCAAGUUCUUAGAGCUGCUGGCUAGAGGCAUGGUAUUGAGCCUGACCAGCAAAUAGAUGCCCAAAGCAAGCUGUACCCUGCCGCAUCCAAGCAUAUGCUGCCAGCUACUGGGAAAGUGGUGCUGGAGAAACUGGCAGAGAGUGAUCCAUACAGCCUGUGACCUUCUCUUGCAAAUAUCAGAACUGGUAAUCUGGAGGAGGCGCAGUAGAGCAUACAGAUGAAUCUGACAAUCAAGUGGGCGGCUAAGUAGUCAAGUUGGCAAGCUGGUGGGUAGACAGCAAAGCCAGUAGGAAUAGUCUGAAGAUAGCUUGGUCUUUAAAUAAACAAACAAAAAACAAGUUGAUAGACUAAGCAGCCAGAGAAGCAACUUUUUUUGUGCCAGGUGGAAUCCCAUUGGCCCUUCAUGUCACAUUGCCACUGCUGAGCUAGUAGCUGUAGUACUAUCCUCUGGCCAUUGACAGGGGUGCAGCAGAAAGCUGGCUAAUAUCUCCCUUUUCCAUCAAGCUGCCAUAGUGGCAAACAAAGACUCUUACGACUGGCUACCAGAGUCCCUCAUUCAAGAUCUCUGUGGCUUAUACCAAAAUGCCCCACUGCAAGCAUUUUCUUCAAUAGUUCGAUGUUCUGUCUGAUUCUUGUGCACAAUGAAUUCUUUUGCACAGAAAAGAUUGCCUACAUCAAAUAUUUACUAGCUGCUCUUUGCAUCUCUCUGUAUCCUGCCAUAUUUAAUAUAUUUCACUUCUAUGUAUUCACAGAAGUAUCUCAAAAGUCAAAAGCAGAAAAGACACAAAGCAGGUCAUUUAUUCUCCCAUGAGGAUAAGAUCAUCUCCUACAAUUAACCCCGCCGCCCCCGUUGAUAUCUGUUUCCAGAUGUACUGAUUUAGAAAGCAAAAUCUGCAAUCUUACAAAGACCUUUCAAGAGCAAAGAACUCCCUGCUAAAUGAGCAAAGAGGCACCUUUUAAAGUGGUGACUCUCUUAUACUGAGCAGGAGGAGAACAACUGGCCCUCUCCAACCUCGGCACAGCAUCCCUCCAGUGGUUGUUGCUGGUGUCUGCCUUAUGUUUCCUUUUAUAAUGUGAGCCCUUCGGGAGCAGGGAACCCUCAAUCUAUUUGUUAUUUAUGUUUCUAUGUAUACUGCUUUGGAAACUUCUGUUGAAAGUAGUAGUAGUAGUAGUAGUGAUUAUGAACAAAUGCAGAAUAAAUUGACAGCUUGGAA
Molecule: long non-coding RNA, 1657 nt
Organism: Hemicordylus capensis (graceful crag lizard)
Lineage: Eukaryota; Metazoa; Chordata; Lepidosauria; Squamata; Cordylidae
Exons: 3
Source: RefSeq, a predicted model, not a curated record